CACCAUGUUUACUCAAUGCAGCAUGUUAUGCUUCUUAUAGCCUAGGCUUUUCAGGCCACGAGAUUUGUCCAUGUUAAAGAAGGAGUAGGAAAUUUGGUAGGGCAUGUUAAGGAUGUCUCCUUCCCUUCUAAUUAGGUAAGGAUGUAAAUGAACCAAGUUGAACCAAAUUUUGAAUAGCUUAGGCUCAGCUCUUUUGAGAUUUUUCAUGCUCAAUGUCAGUUUGAUUCAGCUUGAGCUUUAAUAAUAGAGCCUAAGCUUGAGCUUGGCUCAAAUUAAAUUCAUUGGCAAACAAGCUCAGCUCGAGCGCGAGCUCAAAUCAAGCUUGGCCCAAAAUUUGAGCUAAAAAAUAAGCUUGUCUCAAAUUUGAGCUUGCUACAUUAGUAUAUAUUUAAUUUAAAUAAAACUAAUAAAAAUCUAGCUUUAAAUUGAAAUAAAAUAUAAUUUAAAAUAAAGUUAUAGGGGGCCCUUUUAGGCCCCACAUGUUGGAAGUGUGCACCCAUAUACAUAAAUUCAAAAUUGGUGAGGGGAUUCCUUUUACAAGGAAGACACAACCCUUCAUUUUGUUUGUGUAUUUAUAUUGAUUAACAGGUAAAACAUUUAUAGUUGGGUAUAGAAGUACUCUAAGUUUACGUCAUUUUAAAAAGAUAUAUGGAGAGAAAUUUUAGUAGUCAACUGAAAUCUCAACCUUUUUAAUGUUGAAGAUUCAGAGAGAAUGAGUAAUAGUAAUAGUUGGAAAUAUUAGUGUUAAAUUUAAACCUUAAUAUUGUAAUGCUCAAAGUUUAGAAAGAAAGAGGAAGUGAGGGAUGGCAAAAAAAGAUGGUGUAAUGGUAAUAGUUAGAUAAUUUAGUAUUAAAUUUUAACCUUAAACCAUUUAAAGCUUUGAGUUUAAUAUUUAACCUGUUACACACUUAAUACCUUAUAUAAUUUAUCCCUAUAUGGUUUGUUACUUAUUAAUGACUGUAAAAUUGAGAAUUAUGACAGUAGAAUUGUAAAUUAUAACAUAUAUUAUAUAAUUCAAGCAUUAACCCUAAAUGGAGAGAGGGUAAAGAUAAAUAGUGAGAAAUAGUACAUAGUAGUCAAUUCAAAUCUUCAAGGCCUAGAUAGAAAGUAAUAGUACUGAUUGGAUAUGUAAUUUUAAAUUUAAAUUUUAACCUAGGUUCAAAACUGAAAAAGAAAGAGAGAGGGAGGACAGCAUAGGGGAGAGAGAUAAGUUUAUGUUUCAUAUCCCACAACUACCAAAACAUCAUAGUUGCAAUUUAUUUAGUAAUUGACUAUGGAUAAAAUAGUUUAAAAUGAUUUUUUAUGGUUAAAUAUAUAUGUAAUAUGAUCUUAAUGUAUUCUUAUAUUUAUUUCUCAUAGAAAAUUAACUUCAUAUUUAUAAAGAAAUUUAAUUUAUAUUACAAUUAAUUUAUUUUCUAUAAAUACAAUUUGUAUAUUAGUUGCUUUAUAAUUUUAGAUAACACAAUAUUAUAUUAUUUGAUAUUAAGAGCAUAUUUAUUAUCUAAUAUUCUUAAUUUAUUUCUCAUGUCAUACUUAACUUGAUUUCGUUAAAAAUAUUAAGUCACAAAUAACUAUAUUCACUAGCUUAGAAUAUAAUAAUAUAAUAGAUUUAUAUUUUCAAAUAAACCAACUCACUAACCUAUUUAACGAGCUUAUCAUCUAUCCUAUUUGCGAGCUUGUUUAAUGAGUUAGCUUGUGAGCCUAUAAAUAAGCCGAACACUAUUGAGCUCGAGCUCGAGCUAUAAUCAUUUAUUAAAUGAGCAUAAAAAUUAGGCUUGAGCCUGAUUCAUUUAGAAAAUAAACAGAAUUCAGCUAAACUUUUAUUGAACCAAACCAUCAAAUAAUUCACAAAUAAAUUGAUUCAUCUACACCUCUAUAAUUAGAAGAAAAAAGUUACAAAUUCAAUUAGUACACUAUAAAUCUCUAGAAUUUUCUUUUUAUUUUACAUGCAUUAAAAUUCAAGUUUGAGAUAGAUUCCAAUGGAUCUAAUUUGGGAAGGGCAGUGACCAAUAUGUAGGGAUUAGAUCUGAGGACUUGGAAGUUGAGCUGUGGUUUUAUGACAUGCAUUCAACCUACCAUGAUCUAACUUCUAAAUGAGGGUUAUCUUAUUUGCCCAGAAAUUUGCUCGAUUGUGCAUAAUGUUUGGAUACAAGUUAUGGACCGCAUGGCAGGAUUUGAGGUUGUAGUUAUGCCAGUUUGUUUGUGUCUAGUAUUCACCUUUAAAUGUUAACACAGCUGGAUAAAAGCAGUUCUUGUCUCAGAAAUAUACAAUUAUGCCUGAUAAAUACCAUGAGAAAGCAGCAGAGUUGCAAAUUUUCAGCUAUCUUAUUUGAUUGAAUGUGAAUAUAAUAAAGAUCUUCUGUUUCCCUCAUCUGCUUUUUUUGUUUAAAUCCUUGUGUCUUUUUUUUUUGGGAAGAAAAUGUGUAAAAGUCCAAGUGGAACAGCUAUUAAUAAUAACAAGUCCUACUUGACUUAAGAGUCUUAAUGGAGCAAUUAUUCUAAUAGAAAAUAAGUCCUACUUAAUAAUAAUCCUACUGAUAAAAAUAAUGGAAACAACAAUUCAAGAGACUCCUAUUGCUUACGGCUGCAGAUGCGCUUCAAUUAGCAGUCCUAUGCCUGGUAUACUUCUUCCCCACAAAUGCAUCCACAACAAAAUGUUGUUGUCUGCACCAUAAUUAACAUCCAUGCUUUGUUUGUCCAUUGCCUGCCCUCUCUUCUAAUUGAUGCCUAAUCUGACAAUGGUUAUCCUACUUUAGAAUUCAUAUUUUCCUCUUUCCUUUCUCUUGCAUAUACAUGCAAUCAUGAAUACAUUUUUUUUUUUUUUACUUUC
This is a long non-coding RNA of Manihot esculenta (cassava), 2830 nucleotides long. RefSeq lists it as uncharacterized. Lineage: Eukaryota; Viridiplantae; Streptophyta; Magnoliopsida; Malpighiales; Euphorbiaceae. The record is from RefSeq and is a predicted model, not a curated record. The transcript has 2 exons.